CCAAUAAUUGGAAAAGGAUUUGAUUUGCUAUAUUCAGGAAUUUACCACCACCUCUGGCUGCAGGUUCACAACCAGCAUUACAUUACUACCAAUCUAAUAGUAUGGCUAUUUCCCCUGAACUACCACAGUAGUUUAACAUGAAAUGUAACUCUAUGUAGUUGCUAUGUUUUAAGGAAAAAAAUUUUAGCAAAAUGCAUGUAGUAAGUAUACCCUAUCAUGAAAACUUACUCAUGGAAUCCAUUCAGCAUGCUCAGUUAAUUGCUAGUUCUUUAUAAUUCCUCAUUUAUACAGUAGAUAUUUCCCUCAAUUUAAUUGUUCUUAAAAUGAAUUUUCAGUUUUCUAGUUUAGUGACACCUUCUGCUAAAUUUCCAUGUUUACCAAUAAUCUCAUAAUUGGGAAUCUAAUAUUCAAUGGCAGUCAGUGAUGACUGCAUCACAGUGAAUAAAAUGACCUUCCAGACAUUCAGCUGUUUCAGGCUGAAGAUUAAGGGUCUCUUUCUGGGUUGUCACUAAGUACUGUUUGUCACAGAACUCUUUCAGGGUAGGGGAACAUACCCAAAUUAAGAGUUACUUCAUCUUAUACUGGUCUUAUACUCCCUUAAAUCAGGCAUCCCAUGUGAAAUACCUAAGUCCCUGAUAUGAAUCUCAUGCUCUUCCCCAAUGGGAUCAAAAACAAGGGGGAAGAAAAAGGCCUUUGACUAAGAUAUGGAUGAGAGUGAAAGGUCAUUUUUAUGUAGACUUCGUUAGCCUUUUGUAAAUAUUGUAACUGGCAAGUAUAAAAUAGAAAAAUAUAGCUAAAGCAUUUGCUCUGUAAGUUGUUAACCUUUAAAUAUAUAAUUACUGCUAAAAAUAGUCCUUACACUUAAGGAAAAUUGGUGCCAUUUUGAAAAUGAGAUCUUGUGCCAUAAAUGCAGCUGAAUUAAAUAUAAAUAGUUCACAAACUAGUGCUGUCAAAGAAAUGAAUAAAGUAGAAAAACCUAAGCAAUAAUGUUUCAUUCUGAAUUAUGUAGUGUAAUAAACUUGGAUCAUGCAGGA
Long non-coding RNA from Perognathus longimembris pacificus (Pacific pocket mouse), 1034 nucleotides. RefSeq lists it as uncharacterized. The transcript is spliced from 2 exons. NCBI's taxonomy places the organism in Eukaryota, Metazoa, Chordata, Mammalia, Rodentia, Heteromyidae. The record is from RefSeq and is a predicted model, not a curated record.